Molecule: long non-coding RNA, 1221 nt
Filed under: Salmo salar (Atlantic salmon)
Lineage: Eukaryota; Metazoa; Chordata; Actinopteri; Salmoniformes; Salmonidae
Description: lncRNA (ENSSSAG00000090444.1)
Source: RNAcentral
GUAAGUUAUGUUUAUUUCGUUGGGCAAGGGGAAAUAACUUUGUAGCCUAUUGCUCACCAUCUCCAAUUUUUUCCAUGCCACUUGAUUUUAUUUCGAUUAGGAUAGCAUCCUACACGAUAAAUAACAUUUAAUAUCGGUAGUAAACAUCUGGAUGUCACCAUGAUACAGUCUAUACUGCUCAAUGGGUAGAGUUUGCACUGCAAGCCGAUAAAACAACAACACCAGACACAUUGCCCUUCGCUCCAGCUUGCCGCAUGAUACAGUACCACAGGAUGCCGCGCGGUGAACCACCGCUUCCCAUUCAUUUCAAUGGAAGGGGGGUCUUUGGCGGUGCGAAUGCGAAGGUGGCGUGAGAGGUGGUGAAAAAUAUAAACUUUUCCCAACUUUAUGCAAAUUACCAGCGGUGACCGCUGGGCGAUAACCAAUCAUAUCGAGUGGUUCCCAUGACGAAUUUGACUGCUGGAGGCUGGAGACUCCAAGGCUGGACACUUUCUUCAGCAAAGAUGGCUGACAAAAAUACUAGGAUGGAAGCAAAUAUAUUGAAUGUGCAACUAUAAUUAUGGUUUAUAGUACAUCAGAAUUUAAACAGGACAGCAAAAUGGGUAGACAAAGAGAACAUUGUGUAACAAGGUGUAGGCAGCUGACUUAGUGAUAGAAGGUUGUGAAAUCAAUCACAAGGGGAGCAUGUGAGGAACAUAUAGAGUGGAGAAACAACUGUAUGAGUGAAUAACAGGCAACUGAGUGGUUGCUGACUCUUGAGUAUACACUAAGAAGAUAAGUUCCAACGCCUGGCAACAUGUGAUGCGCCAGGAGGCUGGGACCAGCCUGUGCGCCUACGAUAGGCUGAGUAAGUCUAAACCACACUCAGCCUCUACUCUGACAGGGGCCCGCUCUGAGCGGGAACUAUCUCUGUCAGAGUAUUAAAGAAGAAUUUUGUGCUUAAACAGUUAGUUCUCUGUUUUGCCCUGCGAGGCUGAGUAAGUCUAAACCACACUCAGCCUCUACUCUGACAGGGGCCCGCUCUUAGCGGGAACUAUCUCUGUCGGAGUAUUAAAGAAGAAUUUUGUGCUUAAACAGUUAGUUCUCUGUUUUGCCCUGCGAGGUGUUAAAUUCACCGUGAACCCGUAUAUACGAAAAUUGCAUUUACCAUUUCUUAUGCUUGACUAAAUUCUAUUAAUAAACAGCUGAAAAUAUAUUCAGUAGCCUAGUGUUAACUUGUUA